RNAcentral lists this ribosomal RNA (776 nucleotides) under uncultured Neocallimastigales. RNAcentral describes it as "partial large subunit ribosomal RNA". It matches the Rfam family "Eukaryotic large subunit ribosomal RNA", at positions 24 to 634 of the family's 3401-position model. Lineage: Eukaryota; Fungi; Neocallimastigomycota; Neocallimastigomycetes; Neocallimastigales. The record is from RNAcentral.
UAUCUCUGUAGAGUCUGCAUAUCAAUAAGCGGAGGAAAAGAAACUAACUAGGAUUCCCUUAGUAACGGCGAGUGAAGCGGGAAGAGCUCAAAUUUGAAAUCUUCAAGGUUCUACCUUGACGAAUUGUAGUUUAAAGAAGUGUUUUCUGUUGGAGUUUUGGUAAAAGUUCUUUGGAAUAGGACAUCAUAGAGGGUGAGAAUCCCGUAUUUGACCAUUAUUUCCAGCUUUGUGAUACACUUUCAAAGAGUCGGAUUGUUUGGGAAUGCAGUCCAAAAUGGGUGGUAAAUUUCAUCUAAAGCUAAAUAUUGGCGAGAGACCGAUAGCGAACAAGUACCGUGAGGGAAAGAUGAAAAGAACUUUGAAAAGAGAGUUAAACAGUACGUGAAAUUGUCAAAAGGGAAGCGUUUGACACCAGUGUUGUUUUCUCGAAAAUCAAUUAAAAAUGGCAUUGAUUUUGUGUUGUAUUGACCUUAUAAGCUUUCUGCACUUUUUCAUGUCUUUUUUAAUGCACUUUUCGUUUAACAAGUCAACAUCAAUUUCUUUUGUUGUAAAAAGGGUCAUUGGAAGGUGGCUUUCUUUUCGGAGAAAGUGUUCAUAGCCUUUGGCCUCUGCAAUCGGAGAGAUUGAGGUCAGCAGCGUAGAUCCUUCGGGGUUAGAUACACUUGUGCUAAGUUAUAGCUUUUCAUAGACAACUUGUUGACUAUGAUUUAGUCAUGUCGCUUACUCGCUUAUGCUAUUUUACCUACGCUUAGGAUGUUGAAGAUGUAGCACAUCAU